AUAAGAUACUAGUUUGCGUAGAAGCGGACAGACGAACGGAUGGUCAUACGGACUUUGCUAGCCUCGUGAUGCUGAUUGAGAGUAUAUAUAAUUUAUGGGAUCGAGGCCGUCUUCUGCACUGCAUUGCAAACUUCUGACUGAUAUCAUUAUACCCUCUGCAAGUGUAUACAAAUACAAAGGGCUGUGGAGUAAACGGCUGUACAAUGAAGCAUCACCCCUACACUCAAUACAACUAAAUCGAGAAAUCAGGACAAGUAAACAAGAAUACUCCAAGAAACAGAAGCCAGUGCAUUUUGGGGCUACGGAACAGAUCUUGCAGUUCCAACGACAAGAGAAGUCUUCCUGGCUUUUAGUCCGAUCUUUGAUCCCUUUGUCAUACUAAUGGAUUAAAAAUCCUUCUUCAGAAAAAAUGCUGGUUGCCGAAAAAAGCAAAGUGGCAUGGGG
Molecule: long non-coding RNA, 444 nt
Organism: Drosophila subpulchrella
Lineage: Eukaryota; Metazoa; Arthropoda; Insecta; Diptera; Drosophilidae
Exons: 3
Source: RefSeq, a predicted model, not a curated record